GCGCUGAUAGUUUAGGGGUUUAGAAUACAUGCUUCCCAAGCAUGUGACCCGGGUUCGAGUCCCGGUCAGCGCA
This 73-nucleotide transfer RNA is filed under the name Cafeteria roenbergensis. It matches the Rfam family "tRNA". From Rfam's summary of the family: Transfer RNA (tRNA) molecules are approximately 80 nucleotides in length. Their secondary structure includes four short double-helical elements and three loops (D, anti-codon, and T loops). Further hydrogen bonds mediate the characteristic L-shaped molecular structure. tRNAs have two regions of fundamental functional importance: the anti-codon, which is responsible for specific mRNA codon recognition, and the 3' end, to which the tRNAs corresponding amino acid is attached (by aminoacyl-tRNA synthetases). tRNAs cope with the degeneracy of the genetic code in two manners: having more than one tRNA (with a specific anti-codon) for a particular amino acid; and 'wobble' base-pairing, i.e. permitting non-standard base-pairing at the 3rd anti-codon position. The record is from Rfam by way of RNAcentral. Lineage: Eukaryota; Bigyra; Bicosoecida; Cafeteriaceae.